This is a non-coding RNA of Myotis davidii, 73 nucleotides long. The record is from Rfam. Lineage: Eukaryota; Metazoa; Chordata; Mammalia; Chiroptera; Vespertilionidae.
GGCAGUUCUCAAGCGACACACCCAGGAAUCAGGCUCCCUCCUCUGGCUCCAGGUGCGUCACUCAAGUAUCACA